This 4257-nucleotide long non-coding RNA is filed under the name Homo sapiens (human). Its description in RNAcentral is "HSALNT0089908". Lineage: Eukaryota; Metazoa; Chordata; Mammalia; Primates; Hominidae. The record is from RNAcentral.
AGGCAGGAAAAUUGCUUGAACCCAGGACGUGGAGGUGGCAGUGAGCCGAGAUCAUGCCAUUGCACUUCAGCCUGGGUGACAACUGGUGACAAGAGUGAAACUCCAUCGCAAAAAAAAAAAAAAGUCAUUAUUUUGAGUCUUUAGACUUAAAGCUAAAGGCUUAAGCCAAUUAAUUCUCAAAGGUGAUAUCCUUUGAGUCUAGAUUCAAGGAUAAAUCAACAGACCAGGGAGAAGGCAGUACCACAUCUAGUAUCAGAGGCACGUUAGAUCAAUUACUUUUCAUAAAAUUUUGAACACUGUGAAUCAGAUAUGUUCCCCAAUAUUCACUCAUUGCCUUCCUUUCCAUUUAGAGAAGAGAUGGAAAGAAAAGGAAUAGAAACAUGAGGCCAGACUGAGCAAAGUGGUUGCUUACUUUAUGAUGCUAAGAUGGUGGAUUUUAGACUGCAUUUCAUAGCACACUAUUCCUGUCUGUGAAGACCUCUAGGUAUUCUGAGAUCGAGAAAGGUCAAAUUAAUCUCAAUGAUGUGUCAAAUUAGUAAUCAUAUUAAUUCCAUAUUGUCACCUGCUCUUUGGCAGGUUUGAUAAACCAUGUGUUAAAUCGAUUAUGCAAAUAAUUUUAGCUAAAUUAAAACAUCUGUUCCACACAUCACCAGAUUUCAAGGUGAAAGUCUUCCUGAAGGUGAGUUUUUAGUCCCACAUUAAAUAUGACAUGUAUUUUGGCUACGUUGUGCAUUGGUUUGCCAGCAUCACAAUCACCAUUUGUGUCUUUCUUUUCUUAUGCCAGACAUUGAGAUGCUACAUUUUGGCAGCAUUUGACAAAAAGCUAGUUUGUUUUUCAUACAUAAUACAUAUUGACAUAAACCGUAAAACUUGGAAUGAAAAAUAUGGCAUGACUAUAAGAGAUGUAUCUUUUCACUUCAUGAAAGGAUGACUCAUGGGGCCACAAAGGGCAAAUAGGGUGGAUGCGUUGGAAAUCCCUCCAGGAGACCCCAACAAAAUAUAUAGGCAUUUGACAACUCCUAGAGCUUAUUGUCUUAGUCUGUGUUGCUAUAACAAAAUACCACACACUGGGUAAUUUAUAAACAAUAGAAAUUUAAAUUCUCACUGUUCUGAAGUCUGGGAAGUCCAAGAUCAAGACACCAGCAGAUUCAGUGUCAGGUGAGGGCUGCUCUCUGCUUCCAUGAUGGUUCCCAUUGCUGCCUCCUCUGAAGGAGAGGAACACUGUGUCCUCACAUGGUGGAAGAGACAAAAGAACAAGAGAAUGCUCCCUUCCACCUUCUGCCCUUUUAUAAGGGUGCUAAUCCCAUUUAUGAGGGUGGAGCCUGCAUGAUUUAGUCACCUCCCAAGGGCCACACCUCUUAAUACUGUUGCAUUGGGGAUUAGGCUUCAACAUGAAUUUUGGAGGGGACACUAUUAGUCAAACCAUAGCACUUGCCUACUCAUUUCUCCUUUUCCAUGAGAUCACUUGGCCUUGAGUUUGUAACUAUGUCUUCAUUUUCUCUGCCGCCAUCUUUCCUUAGUUGCAUUUUCAAUAGAGAAGAAUGAAGUAAUUCACAAACUUUAGUUUUGCAUAAGAAUCAACUGGGGAAUGUGUUAAAAGUACAAGGAUUAUCGUUUAGAAGGAUUAUCUUAGUAGGGUGGAGCCCAGAAAUCUGUGUUUUUUAAGCACUCAUGGUCAUUCUGAUUUAGUGGUCUGUGGUCUGCAUUGGGAGAAACACUUGGUAGAGGAUGAUUAAGAGCAUGGACCUUGGAGUGUGACAUCCCUGGAUAUGAAUUCUUCCUCUGUCACUAAUUCUUCUGUGGUCCUGGGCAAGUUAUUUAGUAUAAGUCUCAGUUUCCUAGCCUAUAUAAUGGGAUACUACAACAUGGAUGAAACUUGAAAACACUAUGCUAAAUGAAAUAAGCCAGAAAUACAUGAUUCCACUUAUAUGCAGUAUCUGUAACAGGCAAAUUCAUAGAGACAAAGUAGACUAGUGGCUACCAGGUGGUUGGGGGAAGAAGGAAUAGGAAGUUUUUGUUUAAUGGGUACAAAGUUUUUGUUUGGGAUGGUGAAAAAGUUCUGGAAAUGGGUGGUGGUGAUUGUCCCACAGCAUUGUGAAUAUACUUAAUACUGAAUUGUACACUUAAAAUUUUGGUAAAAUUUUGUUAUGUAUAUCUCACCACAAUCAAAUGAAAGGUGUGGCCAUGAAGAAAUGAGAAUAAAUUUUCAAGUUGUAUUCUUAAAAAAUAGGAACAAUAAUUCCUGUACCCUAAGGUUGUUGUGAAUAUUGAGUGAGAUAGUAUAUGAAAAGUGUUUACUUAGUACAGGGCCUGACAUGUAACAAAUGCUCCGGGGAUGGUAGGUAGCUACCACCCAGUAACAGGCGACAGCUCCUUCUGGUAUUCAGCAGCAUAUCACGGGCCGUUCUGAGCAGGUGAGUGGUUAUGUCGACCAGGUCAGAGACUGCUCAGCUCUCUAGGGAACAUUCACACUGUUUGAGGUGAUUCCUCCACCCGCUGGGUCCCAAUUCUAGAAAUCCUCUCGAAGAGGCCGUCUCACUCCACAGGAUUCUUCCCUGUUCCACUGUACUGACAGAGGAGACACCACUGGAACAACGUUUUUCUUUCCAUGCUAUCCCUUGAGGGAGGCGAGAACUCCACCCAGCAACACAGUAGAGAACAGGAGAUGGGAAGCCUCAUCCGGGCACUCCGCCUGGCUUCUCUGAAGCUCUCAAUCCCCCACCACCUGACACCCCUUCCUCUUUCUCUCUCCUUUGAAUCAUCUCAAUUUUAUCCCAAACUUGGAAUACUGUGGACUCUAAAACUUUAUCCUUAAACAUCCUUUUGAGAAUAACUCCCACAGUUGCAAAUAGCGAGAAUUGAGAUUAUGACAGUAAGUUAAAUUUAAUUACAAAAGUACCUCUUUGUUUUCCCUUGGAUUUAUUUUAGCAUUGAUGAAGCAAAUAUAAUUUUCAUUUUAAUGAGUUUCAGCUCCCACUGGUACUAAGCCGCUUUGUUUAGGUGUUAAAUAUUACAGAGUCAUUAAAGGCUUUUCUUACACUUUUUUAAUCUUUCUUCCCAAAUCCCAUCAGAAAAAAAUGUCUAGCUUUAUUUUGUUUUUAUUUUUAAAGCGUUGAUGAAAAAAUAAAUGAAUUUUCUUUGUAAAAGGUAAUGACUAAGUCAUUCAUCUGUGGAUGGGAAGGGGUCGGCCACACAGUGGGAGACAUCUCCCUAACUGGAGUUUCAAAAAUGGUCUUCACAGCCAGGCACGGUGGAUCACACCUGUAAUCCCAGCACUUUGGGAGGCCAAGGCGGGCGGAUCACUUGAGGCCAAGAGUUCGAGACCAGCCUGGCCAACAUGAUGAAACCCCAUCUCUGCUAGAAAAACAAAAAUAAGCUGGGCGUGGUAACGGGUGCCUGUAAUCCUUGCUACUUGGGAGGUGGGAGGGAGACAUUAUGGGAAGGUGAUGGGCAGAACUGCACAGGAACAAAGGUCAUCUUAUUUUGCAGAUUAAGUUUCCCAGGUAAUCUCUUGAAGCUUCCUUCAGAAGAAUAGAAGAAAAGUCUGUCUGGGCAUGGUGAUGACUUCCAACAUCUUCUCUUCUCUGGUGAGUGAUCUUUCCUGGUUAUUUGCUGAGACCCCCUAGGGAGGGGAUCCUAAGAAAAAUUGCAUUUCUUUUGGAAAAAAGCUUUCUUGGUUAGACAAGGAAAUUCCAGAGAGAGUCUCUCCCUAUGCUUGGGAGGGGGUGGAGACAAGACAAGGUUAGGGGAACCUUGAUUCUGAGGCAGCUUCUAAGGCCUCUCAGCAUGUCAAAGCACAGUCUUUGGGGUAUCACUUUUGAGCCCUAACAGCAUAUCUGAACAUGUAGGGAUAAAAUGAAAUGGUACCUAGGAUUUGCUUUCUUUUUUCUUUUUUUUUUUUUUUGAGACAGUCUCUCACUCUGUUGCCCAGGCUGGAGUGCGGUGGCAUGAUCUCAGCUCACUGCAACCUCUGCCUCCUGAGUUCAAACAAUUCUCCCGCCUCAGCCUCCCAAGUAGCUGGGAAUACAGGCGUGCACCGCCAUGCCCAGCUAAUUUUUUGUAUUUUUAGUAGAGUUGGGGUUUCACCAUGAUGGCCAAGCUGGUUUCUAACUCCUGACCUCAAGUGAUCCGCCCACCUCGACCUCCCAAAGUGCUAGGAUUACAGGCGUUAGCCACUGCACCCGGCCUAGGAUUCGCUUUCAAAGGAAAGAGAUAGAUGAAGCAAAUAUGACAGAAACUUGAUAAUUGUUGACUCUG